RNAcentral lists this long non-coding RNA (1603 nucleotides) under Ricinus communis (castor bean). RNAcentral's name for it is "long non-coding RNA (RCOM_LNC001412)". Lineage: Eukaryota; Viridiplantae; Streptophyta; Magnoliopsida; Malpighiales; Euphorbiaceae. The record is from RNAcentral.
AGACCUGAAACUCAGAAAAUUUACAACUGAUACAUCUACUAUUACUACUGCGGAGAAUCUAAGAUUUACCAAUUUACAUACCAAAUCAAAUACAUCACCCGAUGAUGAAGGAGUCGGGUUACUGAAUAAGAGUCGCGGGAGAACUAACAGUCACGAAUCUAAAAAAAAACAUAAAUGGAGACUAUCAGUCUCGAGAGUGAAUUAAAAUCAAAUAAUCUAGGGACUAUUGCUUCUUCUCAGAAAACAUAGAUUAUUCAAAUCAGUAUAUCAAACCAUACUAUAAUCAUACCCUACUAUUUCCUUCACUUAAAAUAUUAAUCAUUCGAAUCAAAAUAUCAACCAUGCACGUAAAUACAAUCCAUAUUAUAAUCAUACCACAAUAAAUUCAUAAAUGAAUAAAUAAAAAUAUAUUUUUACUUUUACGGGACGAGUGGCUCAGUAGAACCCUAAACCCCAAAAUCUAGUAGCCAUUCGGCUCUCUUAAUCCAAUAAGACUGGCGCCCCGAGAGCAAUGCUCGACCAGGGACCUUACCUCCAGUCUGGUAACUUAAGUAUCCAAAUAAGAAAUCUAGUAGCCAUUCGGCUCUCUUAAUCCAAUAAGACUGGCGCCCCGAGAGCAAUGCUCGACCAGGGACCUUACCUCCGGCAAUUUACACAAAUCAGCCCAGAGAGCCAUGCUCGACCAGGGCAAACCCAUAAAUAUCUUAUUACAUGUCCAUGAUUAUUACCGGUGCGCACGCGGUCCUGAUGUAACCCAUCAGGCGGCAUGUUCUACAAGCCACAUUUCCCAAAUCGCAAUCACCACAUUUAAUAAAUAUCAUUGUCUAAUGAAAUCAUUCAACACAUAUCAAAAUAAAGAUUAAAAAUUUAGGAUAAGGCAACGUGCAAUUCGUGUCGACAGAAUAAUAAUAUCUGUAUUAUUAUAACGUUACUAAUAAUAAUAUUUAUAUUAUUUCAAAUAUUAAUAAUCAAGUGAAGUCAUUUAUUUUGCGAUACUAAUAAUCAUAUUAAGCACAAAUUCUAAAUAGCAUAUUAAAAUCAGACUAGCAAUAGCGCAAAGAUUAAAUGACUUUACCUCACAGGAUUAGGCGACCUCCUAGCUCUGCUCCGGUGCCUCAGUUGGAGCGAGCCGAAUAGACAGAUCAUCUAAUCACAGAAAACAAUUUAUCAAUACGCUGAGACAAUCGAUCAUUAAUCCUAGGUCUAGACUCCUAGGACUGACUGUCUAAGAAUCUCGACCUGGGAGAAUUCUACCGAAAAUCUGGCAGAACCUCCCCUACAACACGAACAUUACCCCCCGUAAAAACGGGUCCAGGACCUGCUAGAAGAACACUUCAAAUAUCCAACAAUUUAAACAACGGGAGUCGGGUCCCAAACUUCACUAUUUCCCGACUCCGCCACACAGCACAAAACACAAGGCAAGCAAACUGACAGACAAUUAUUUAUGACUCACAAAUAUCAUCAAAUACUCAAUAUAACCCAAUAAACACAAAUUUAAAAUCAAAGGAUUUCUAAGAUCAACGGCCAGAGAAAAUUACCGAGACGCUCGAUCGCUCGGUCGACUUGCCUCCGGCCGCCGGAGUCCGAUCGACGAUCCGAACAC